GGCUGCAAUAUUUAUAAUUGUACAAAGGUAGCAUAAUAAUUUGUUUUUUAAUUAAAAACUAGAAUGAACGAUUUAAUGAAAUAUAAACUCUAUCUAUUAAUAAAAUUUAAAUUUUUAUUUAAAUAAAAAAAUUUAAAUAAAUAUAAAAGACGACAAGACCCUAUAGAAUUUUAUUUAAAUAAAAUUACUAUUAAUCAUAAUAAAUUAAUUAACUUUAAAUUUAAUUGGGGUAAUUAAAAAAUUAAAUAAAUUUUUUUAAAAUAAUACAUCAAUAAAUGAAUUAAUUAUUUUAAAUUUUAAAUUAUUAAAAUUAAUUACCUUAGGGAUAACAGCAUAAUUUUUUUUAAAAGACCUUAUUAAUAAAAAAGAUUAU
This 373-nucleotide ribosomal RNA is filed under the name Psyttalia incisi. Its description in RNAcentral is "partial 16S ribosomal RNA". Lineage: Eukaryota; Metazoa; Arthropoda; Insecta; Hymenoptera; Braconidae. The record is from RNAcentral.